Molecule: ribosomal RNA, 253 nt
Filed under: uncultured bacterium
Lineage: Bacteria
Description: partial 16S ribosomal RNA
Rfam family: Bacterial small subunit ribosomal RNA
Source: RNAcentral
UACGUAGGGGGCAAGCGUUGUCCGGAAUUAUUGGGCGUAAAGCGCACGCAGGCGGCUUCUUAAGUCUGGUGUGAAAUCUCGCAGCUUAACUGCGAGCGGUCAUUGGAAACUGGGGAGCUUGAGGACAGAAGAGGAGAGUGGAAUUCCACGUGUAGCGGUGAAAUGCGUAGAUAUGUGGAGGAACACCAGUGGCGAAGGCGGCUCUCUAGUCUGUAUCUGACGCUGAGGUGCGAAAGCGUGGGGAGCGAACAGG